GAGGAGGAGCAGAAGCACGACACCGCGCACACCGGGGUGAGGAGGUGGGGGAGAGGAGGAGCAGAAGCACGACACCGCGCACACCGGGGUGAGGAGGUGGGGGAGAGGAGGAGCAGAAGCACGACACCGCGCACACCGGGGUGAGGAGGUGGGGGAGAGGAGGAGCAGAACCACGACACCGCGCACACCGGGGUGAGGAGGUGGGGGAGAGGAGGAGCAGAAGCACGACACCGCACACACCAUGGAGAGAUACACACAUGCACACCUUCAAACCAAAGAGAGG
Long non-coding RNA from Brienomyrus brachyistius, 283 nucleotides. RefSeq lists it as uncharacterized. The transcript is spliced from 3 exons. NCBI's taxonomy places the organism in Eukaryota, Metazoa, Chordata, Actinopteri, Osteoglossiformes, Mormyridae. The record is from RefSeq and is a predicted model, not a curated record.